GGGUUGUGAGGUUAAGCGACUAAGCGUACACGGUGGAUGCCCUGGCAGUCAGAGGCGAUGAAGGACGUGCUAAUCUGCGAUAAGCGUCGGUAAGGUGAUAUGAACCGUUAUAACCGGCGAUUUCCGAAUGGGGAAACCCAGUGUGUUUCGACACACUAUCAUUAACUGAAUCCAUAGGUUAAUGAGGCGAACCGGGGGAACUGAAACAUCUAAGUACCCCGAGGAAAAGAAAUCAACCGAGAUUCCCCCAGUAGCGGCGAGCGAACGGGGAGCAGCCCAGAGCCUGAAUCAGUGUGUGUGUUAGUGGAAGCGUCUGGAAAGGCGCGCGAUACAGGGUGACAGCCCCGUACACAAAAAUGCACAUGCUGUGAGCUCGAUGAGUAGGGCGGGACACGUGGUAUCCUGUCUGAAUAUGGGGGGACCAUCCUCCAAGGCUAAAUACUCCUGACUGACCGAUAGUGAACCAGUACCGUGAGGGAAAGGCGAAAAGAACCCCGGCGAGGGGAGUGAAAAAGAACCUGAAACCGUGUACGUACAAGCAGUGGGAGCACAGAGCAAUCUGUGUGACUGCGUACCUUUUGUAUAAUGGGUCAGCGACUUAUAUUCUGUAGCAAGGUUAACCGAAUAGGGGAGCCGAAGGGAAACCGAGUCUUAACUGGGCGUUAAGUUGCAGGGUAUAGACCCGAAACCCGGUGAUCUAGCCAUGGGCAGGUUGAAGGUUGGGUAACACUAACUGGAGGACCGAACCGACUAAUGUUGAAAAAUUAGCGGAUGACUUGUGGCUGGGGGUGAAAGGCCAAUCAAACCGGGAGAUAGCUGGUUCUCCCCGAAAGCUAUUUAGGUAGCGCCUCGUGAAUUCAUCUCCGGGGGUAGAGCACUGUUUCGGCAAGGGGGUCAUCCCGACUUACCAACCCGAUGCAAACUGCGAAUACCGGAGAAUGUUAUCACGGGAGACACACGGCGGGUGCUAACGUCCGUCGUGAAGAGGGAAACAACCCAGACCGCCAGCUAAGGUCCCAAAGUCAUGGUUAAGUGGGAAACGAUGUGGGAAGGCCCAGACAGCCAGGAUGUUGGCUUAGAAGCAGCCAUCAUUUAAAGAAAGCGUAAUAGCUCACUGGUCGAGUCGGCCUGCGCGGAAGA
RNAcentral lists this ribosomal RNA (1140 nucleotides) under Escherichia coli. RNAcentral describes it as "partial 23S ribosomal RNA". It matches the Rfam family "Bacterial large subunit ribosomal RNA", at positions 1 to 1170 of the family's 2925-position model. The record is from RNAcentral. Lineage: Bacteria; Pseudomonadati; Pseudomonadota; Gammaproteobacteria; Enterobacterales; Enterobacteriaceae.